This is a non-coding RNA of Diaporthe citri, 134 nucleotides long. The record is from the annotation of a RefSeq genome assembly. NCBI's taxonomy places the organism in Eukaryota, Fungi, Ascomycota, Sordariomycetes, Diaporthales, Diaporthaceae.
AGCUACAUAGCUCAGGGGAAGAGUAGGUCAACUUAACUUGAAUCUUAAGAAAUUGGUUCCAACAUGUUCUAACAAACCAAUCAGGCGCCGGGCUCAUAACCCGGAGGUCGCUGGAUCGAAACCAGUUGUAGCUA